GGGACUGUGGCUUAAUGGUAGAGCGCUUGCCUAGCAUGCAUGAAGCUCAGUACCA
This 55-nucleotide transfer RNA is filed under the name Dipodomys ordii (Ord's kangaroo rat). Lineage: Eukaryota; Metazoa; Chordata; Mammalia; Rodentia; Heteromyidae. The record is from Rfam by way of RNAcentral.